RNAcentral lists this ribosomal RNA (582 nucleotides) under uncultured bacterium. Its description in RNAcentral is "partial 16S ribosomal RNA". It matches the Rfam family "Bacterial small subunit ribosomal RNA", at positions 357 to 1375 of the family's 1533-position model. The record is from RNAcentral.
UGGGAAUUUGGACAAUGGGCGAAAGCCUGAUCCAGCAAUGCCGCGUGUGUGAAGAAGGCCUUCGGGUUGUAAAGCACUUUUGUCCGGAAAGAAAUCCUUGGCUCUAAUACAGUCGGGGGAUGACGGUACCGGAAGAAUAAGCACCGGCUAACUACGUGCCAGCAGCCGCGGUAAUACGUAGGGUGCAAGCGUUAAUCGGAAUUACUGGGCGUAAAGCGUGCGCAGGCGGUUUGCUAAGACCGAUGUGAAAUCCCCGGGCUCAACCUGGGAACUGCAUUGGUGACUGGCAGGCUAGAGUAUGGCAGAGGGGGGUAGAAUUCCACGUGUAGCAGUGAAAUGCGUAGAGAUGUGGAGGAAUACCGAUGGCGAAGGCAGCCCCCUGGGCAAUACUGACGCUCAUGCACGAAAGCGUGGGGAGCAAACAGGAUUAGAUACCCUGGUAGUCCACGCCCUAAACGAUGUCAACUAGUUGUUGGGGAUUCAUUUCCUUAGUAACGUAGCUAACGCGUGAAGUUGACCGCCUGGGGAGUACGGUCGCAAGAUUAAAACUUAAAGGAAUUGACGGGGUCAUAGCUGUUUCCU